This 253-nucleotide ribosomal RNA is filed under the name uncultured bacterium. RNAcentral describes it as "partial 16S ribosomal RNA". It matches the Rfam family "Bacterial small subunit ribosomal RNA", at positions 524 to 776 of the family's 1533-position model. The record is from RNAcentral.
UACGUAGGUGACGAGCGUUAUCCGGAAUUACUGGGCGUAAAGCGCACGCAAGCGGUCUAACAAGUCUGGCGUGAAAUCCUCUGGCUUAACCAGGGGCGGUCGCUGGAGACUGUUAAACUUGAGGCGAUGAGAGGGGUGCAGAAUUCCCGGUGUAGUGGUGGAAUGCGUAGAUAUCGGGGGGAAUACCAGUGGCGAAAGCGGCACCCUGGCGUCGUACUGACGCUGAGGCGCGAAAGCCAGGGGAGCAAACGGG